RNAcentral lists this ribosomal RNA (792 nucleotides) under Triticum aestivum (bread wheat). Its description in RNAcentral is "partial small subunit ribosomal RNA". The record is from RNAcentral. Lineage: Eukaryota; Viridiplantae; Streptophyta; Magnoliopsida; Poales; Poaceae.
AUGCUCCUCCUCAGAUCCCACCACCUCCUCCUCCCCCACGCCGCCCGCCUCCUCGCCCGCCGCGCGCAGCCCCUUCCCCGCACCGCCGCCGCCGCCCGCCUCCGCCCGCUCCGGAUGUCGGCCUCCAACCACUCCGGCGCCGGCGCCAGCUCCCCCUCCGCCCCAUCGCCACCGCCGGCCCCCGCGGUGCCCAAGUCGAGGAUCCCUUUCUGCCCAGCUUGUGGAAGUCCGACGAAAUUGGCCGUACCAGACGGGGAUGAGAAGAUGAGGGCUGUCUGUUCUUCUUGUGGGAGAGUGCACUACGAAAACCCCAAAAUGGUUGUCGGUUGCCUUGUGGAGCACGAUAACAAGGUCCUCCUUUGCAGAAGAAAGAUUGAACCGGCUUAUGGCCUUUGGACUCUUCCUGCUGGUUAUUUGGAAGUCGGGGAGUCUGCAGCAGAAGGAGCCUCAAGGGAAACGUUGGAAGAAGCUUGUGCAGAUGUAGAGAUAGUUUCACCUUUUGCUCAGUUGGAUAUUCCGCUUAUUGGCCAAAGUUACAUUAUUUUCCGAGCAAGAAUGAAGACCCCCAGUUUCUCACCUGGAUCCGAGUCGCUAGAAUGUGCACUUUUUGCUCUGGAUGAUAUACCAUUCGAUUCUCUAGCAUUUUCUUCAAUCAUCGUCACUUUGAGAAUGUAUAUUGAAGAUGUCAAGGCUGGGAACAUCAAAUUCCAUUAUUGCACUAUAAACAAGAGGAUCGGGGCCGGCCCUUCAGAUCUCCGUAGCUUUGAUAUCGACAACCAUUUAGCCGUGUGA